AUUGAACGCUGGCGGCAGGCCUAACACAUGCAAGUCGAGCGGAUGAAGGGAGCUUGCUCCUGGAUUCAGCGGCGGACGGGUGAGUAAUGCCUAGGAAUCUGCCUGGUAGUGGGGGAUAACGUCCGGAAACGGGCGCUAAUACCGCAUACGUCCUGAGGGAGAAAGUGGGGGAUCUUCGGACCUCACGCUAUCAGAUGAGCCUAGGUCGGAUUAGCUAGUUGGUGGGGUAAAGGCCUACCAAGGCGACGAUCCGUAACUGGUGUGAGAGGAUGAUCAGUCACACUGGAACUGAGACACGGUCCCGACUCCUACGGGAGGCAGCAGUGGGGAAUAUUGGACAAUGGGGGAAAGCCUGAUACAGCCAUGCCGCGUGUGUGAAGAAGGUCUUCGGAUUGUAAAGCACUUUAAGUUGGGAGGAAGGGCAGUAAGUUAAUACCUUGCUGUUUUGACGUUACCAACAGAAUAAGCACCGGCUAACUUCGUG
RNAcentral lists this ribosomal RNA (484 nucleotides) under uncultured bacterium. RNAcentral's name for it is "partial 16S ribosomal RNA". It matches the Rfam family "Bacterial small subunit ribosomal RNA", at positions 30 to 507 of the family's 1533-position model. The record is from RNAcentral.